This 715-nucleotide long non-coding RNA is filed under the name Trifolium pratense (red clover). Its description in RNAcentral is "long non-coding RNA (TPRA_LNC005474)". The record is from RNAcentral. Lineage: Eukaryota; Viridiplantae; Streptophyta; Magnoliopsida; Fabales; Fabaceae.
AAAUUUCCACUACUCAAGUCGUUAUUUGUAAUAAAUUGUCCAGUGAUGGAAACUUUCUCACAUGGAGUGUUGGAUGCAGCAAAGCUCGUAGAAGUACGAGUAACACAUAAAUAUGAAUUUGAAUGGAAUGGUGACCUUAAUACUACUAUAAAAAAAAUGAGUACCAGAAAAGGUAAUAUCAACUGAAUCAAUUAUCUCCAAUCACGAUUCAAAUGUUAUGGCUUGCAUUCUCACAUUGUUGAUGUUUUUUUCUUGUUCAUGAAUAUCCAGAACUCUGAGGAUGAUUGAUUUUGUCCUCAAAAAUUGAAUGAAGGCUCAAGUAGAUAAUUCGUCGCAACCACUUGGUAAUUCAAAAUCUGCACAUUAGGCUUUUUAUAUGUUCCUUCUUAAUUAUUCAUUUAUAUUUUACAUUCUUCGAUAUUUUGGUGUUAGUUUCAUUGAGAUACAUUAUCCUUUUUGCUUUUGUCAUUUUGACAACUGUUCUUGUUAUUUUCUACAGGGUGUAUCCAUAUGUUUUAGGUAUGAGGCUAAUCGGCUAGUCCUUAAUGUCACAAAGCGUUUACAACCAUCAUGAUGUAUCGGUUUAAUGACUUUUCUAUGAUAAUGACUUCUGUAUCUUGUUUUUCUGUUGUUUGCAAAACUAAUCUCUACUAAAUUUCCUUCUCCUCAGUUAAUAUUGGUGCUGAAUGUUUGAUUUAGUGUGUAUGUUUAUGAG